Molecule: ribosomal RNA, 253 nt
Filed under: uncultured prokaryote
Description: partial 16S ribosomal RNA
Rfam family: Bacterial small subunit ribosomal RNA
Source: RNAcentral
UACGAAGGGGGCUAGCGUUGCUCGGAAUCACUGGGCGUAAAGCGCACGUAGGCGGCUUUCUAAGUCAGGGGUGAAAUCCUGGAGCUCAACUCCAGAACUGCCUUUGAUACUGGAGAGCUCGAGUCCGGGAGAGGUGAGUGGAACUCCGAGUGUAGAGGUGAAAUUCGUAGAUAUGCGGAGGAACACCGAUGGCGAAGGCAAUCCCCUGGGCCUGCACUGACGCUCAUGCACGAAAGCGUGGGGAGCAAACAGG